This 414-nucleotide ribosomal RNA is filed under the name uncultured bacterium. RNAcentral's name for it is "bacterial SSU rRNA". It matches the Rfam family "Bacterial small subunit ribosomal RNA", at positions 945 to 1359 of the family's 1533-position model. The record is from RNAcentral.
UUUAAUUCGAUGCAACGCGAAGAACCUUACCUACUCUUGACAUCCAGAGAACUUUCCAGAGAUGGAUUGGUGCCUUCGGGAACUCUGAGACAGGUGCUGCAUGGCUGUCGUCAGCUCGUGUUGUGAAAUGUUGGGUUAAGUCCCGCAACGAGCGCAACCCUUAUCCUUUGUUGCCAGCGAUUCGGUCGGGAACUCAAAGGAGACUGCCGGUGAUAAACCGGAGGAAGGUGGGGAUGACGUCAAGUCAUCAUGGCCCUUACGAGUAGGGCUACACACGUGCUACAAUGGCAUAUACAAAGGGCGGCAAGCUAGCGAUAGUGAGCGAAUCCCAUAAAGUAUGUCGUAGUCCGGAUUGGAGUCUGCAACUCGACUCCAUGAAGUCGGAAUCGCUAGUAAUUGCGGAUCAGAAUGCCG